AAAAACUCUUGUAAAU
This 16-nucleotide small RNA is filed under the name Arabidopsis thaliana (thale cress). RNAcentral's name for it is "ATSL225910". The record is from RNAcentral. Lineage: Eukaryota; Viridiplantae; Streptophyta; Magnoliopsida; Brassicales; Brassicaceae.